Molecule: transfer RNA, 74 nt
Filed under: Scolopsis vosmeri (whitecheek monocle bream)
Lineage: Eukaryota; Metazoa; Chordata; Actinopteri; Spariformes; Nemipteridae
Description: tRNA-Lys
Rfam family: tRNA
About the family: Transfer RNA (tRNA) molecules are approximately 80 nucleotides in length. Their secondary structure includes four short double-helical elements and three loops (D, anti-codon, and T loops).
Source: RNAcentral
CACUAAGAAGCUAAUACGGCCAUAGCGUUAGCCUUUUAAGCUAAAGAUAGGUGCCCCCCAACCACCCUUAGUGG